UUAUGGACAAGUAUAGUGCG
RNAcentral lists this unclassified non-coding RNA (20 nucleotides) under Chlamydomonas reinhardtii. Its description in RNAcentral is "small RNA Cre_3767". The record is from RNAcentral. Lineage: Eukaryota; Viridiplantae; Chlorophyta; Chlorophyceae; Chlamydomonadales; Chlamydomonadaceae.